This 87-nucleotide transfer RNA is filed under the name Crassvirales sp. RNAcentral describes it as "tRNA-Ser". It matches the Rfam family "tRNA". From Rfam's summary of the family: Transfer RNA (tRNA) molecules are approximately 80 nucleotides in length. Their secondary structure includes four short double-helical elements and three loops (D, anti-codon, and T loops). Further hydrogen bonds mediate the characteristic L-shaped molecular structure. tRNAs have two regions of fundamental functional importance: the anti-codon, which is responsible for specific mRNA codon recognition, and the 3' end, to which the tRNAs corresponding amino acid is attached (by aminoacyl-tRNA synthetases). tRNAs cope with the degeneracy of the genetic code in two manners: having more than one tRNA (with a specific anti-codon) for a particular amino acid; and 'wobble' base-pairing, i.e. permitting non-standard base-pairing at the 3rd anti-codon position. The record is from RNAcentral. Lineage: Duplodnaviria; Heunggongvirae; Uroviricota; Caudoviricetes; Crassvirales.
GGAGAAUUGGCAGAAUGGUUCAAUGCACUUGUCUUGAAAACAAGCAUACCUUAAUUGGUAUUGAAGGUUCGAGUCCUUCAUUCUCCG